ACAGGGCUCUGACCUAUGAAUUGACAGCCAGUGCCCUCGGCUCCCCUCUGGCUGCCAAUUCCAUAGGUCACAGGUAUGU
This 79-nucleotide microRNA precursor is filed under the name Loxodonta africana (African savanna elephant). Its description in RNAcentral is "mir-192/215 microRNA precursor family". It matches the Rfam family "mir-192/215 microRNA precursor family". Rfam says of the family: This family represents the human microRNA (miRNA) precursors mir-192 and mir-215. Animal miRNAs are transcribed as ~70nt precursors and subsequently processed by the Dicer enzyme to give a ~22nt product. The record is from Rfam by way of RNAcentral. Lineage: Eukaryota; Metazoa; Chordata; Mammalia; Proboscidea; Elephantidae. RNAcentral also lists the same sequence under 1 other name.